RNAcentral lists this ribosomal RNA (774 nucleotides) under uncultured Neocallimastigales. Its description in RNAcentral is "partial large subunit ribosomal RNA". It matches the Rfam family "Eukaryotic large subunit ribosomal RNA", at positions 26 to 637 of the family's 3401-position model. Lineage: Eukaryota; Fungi; Neocallimastigomycota; Neocallimastigomycetes; Neocallimastigales. The record is from RNAcentral.
CGCAUCUGUGCAUGCAGCAUAUCAAUAAGCGGAGGAAAAGAAACUAACAAGGAUUCCCCUAGUAACGGCGAGUGAAGCGGGAAGAGCUCAAAUUUGAAAUCUUAAAGGGUUUCCCUUUACGAAUUGUAGUUUAAAGAAGUGUUUUCUGUUGAGGUUUUGGUAAAAGUUCUUUGGAAUAGGACAUCAUAGAGGGUGAGAAUCCCGUAUUUGACCUUUACUUUCAACUUUGUGAUACACUUUCAAAGAGUCGGAUUGUUUGGGAAUGCAGUCCAAAAUGGGUGGUAAAUUUCAUCUAAAGCUAAAUAUUGGCGAGAGACCGAUAGCGAACAAGUACCGUGAGGGAAAGAUGAAAAGAACUUUGAAAAGAGAGUUAAACAGUACGUGAAAUUGUCAAAAGGGAAGCGUUUGACACCAGUGUUGUUUUUCUGAAAAUCAAUUAAAGAACUGUUUAUGCUAAGUUGUUUAGACUUUAUCAGCUAACUGUUUAGUUUUGAGCUUUUCUUUAAUGCACUUUUCAGUUAACAAGUCAACAUCAAUUUCUUUUGCUGUAAAAAAGCUUGAGGAAGGUGGCUUGAGAUUCGUCUUAAGUGUUUAUAGCCUCUUGCCUAUGCAGUCGGAGAGAUUGAGGUCUGCAGCGUAGAUCCUUCGGGGCUAAAUGCAUUUGUGCUAAGUUAUAGCAUUUCAUAGACAACUUGUUGACUAUGAUUUGUCCUGUAGCUUACUCGCUUAUGUUAUUUUACCUACGCUUAGGAUGUUGACAGCAGUAUAGACUGU